This 1306-nucleotide ribosomal RNA is filed under the name metagenome. RNAcentral describes it as "SSU rRNA". It matches the Rfam family "Eukaryotic small subunit ribosomal RNA", at positions 483 to 1783 of the family's 1831-position model. The record is from RNAcentral.
AUACCGGGCCUUUUUGGGCUUGGUAAUUGGAAUGAGGGAGAGUUAAACGGACCAUCGAGUAUCCAUUGGAGGGCAAGUCUGGUGCCAGCAGCUGCGGUAAUACCAGCUCCAAUAGCGUAUAUUAAGUUGUUGCAGUUAAAAAGCUCGUAGUUGGACUUGUGUGCGCUGUCCGCGGGUGGCCUGCGCCCAAAAGGGCGUUUCGGUUCGGCCCCGGUGGCGCCUUGAAAUCUGCAGCUGGGGGGACGUUGGCCUUAACUGGUCGGCGACCGCACGCCGGCUGCUCGGUUACUGUGAGAAAAUUAGAGUGUUCAAGGCAGGCAUUGGGUGCAAUUGAAUACAUUAGCAUGGAAUAAUAAAAUAUGGCUCCUGCCGUAUUUUGUUGGUUUUGACUGGUGGGAGUAAUGAUUGAUAGGGACGGUUGGGGGUGCUAGUAUUGAGCGGCCAGAGGUGAAAUUCAUGGAUUCGCUCAAGACUAACUUAUGCGAAAGCAUUCACCAAGGACGUCCUCUUUAAUCAAGAACGAAAGUUGGGGGAUCGAAGACGAUCAGAUACCGUCGUAGUCUCAACCAUAAACUAUGUCGACUUGGGAUCGGCGGUAGUUUUUUCAUUAAGACACUGUCGGGACCACGGGAGAAAUCAAAGUGUCUGGACUCUGGGGGAAGUAUGGUCGCAAGGCUGAAACUUGAAGGAAUUGACGGAAGGGCACCACCAGGAGUGGAGCCUGCGGCUUAAUUUGACCCAACACGGGGAAACUUACCAGGUCCAGAGAUGUAGAGGAUUGACAGAUUGAAGCUCUUUCUUGAUCACUUCGGUGGUGGUGCAUGGCCGUUCUUAGUUGGUGGAGUGAUUUGUCUGGUUAAUUCCGUUAACGAACGAGACCUCAGCCUGCUAGUGUAGUCGGCUGGAUUGCCUUUGGCGGUCCGUGAUUUCGACUUCUUAGAGGGACAAUCGACGCGCAGUCGAUGGAAGUUUGAGGCAAUAACAGGUCUGUGAUGCCCUUAGAUGUUCUGGGCCGCACGCGCGCUACACUGCUGGGCUCAGCGAGUUUUACUUGGCCGAGAGGCCCGGUUAAUCUUGUGAAAUCCCAGCGUGCUUGGGCUCGCCUCCUGCAACUGGAGGCGCCAACGAGGAAUUCCUAGUAGACGCAGGUCAUCAACCUGCAUCGAUUACGUCCCUGCCCUUUGUACACACCGCCCGUCGUUCCAUAAGAGUGAGGCAUCCGGUGAAUUCUCGGGAGAGCCUGGGCGUGGCCAGCAAUGGUCUGCUCGGGUUUGAACUUGCAUAAACUUGGUGCCUAUGAUUAGGG